AAGGUUGAGACGGAGGGGGAGAAGAGGGAGGUGUGGCGUCAGACUAGAUGAGACGGAAUAGCAACAGUGCAUAUAUAGACCGUUAUGUACGUCAUAAAGACUACCUCAACAGCUUGUUUGGUCAGGACUGAAAUGGUUAGGAGUGGAGGUGCUAACAACCUGGGGCCUAG
Salmo salar (Atlantic salmon) is the source of this 170-nucleotide non-coding RNA. The record is from RefSeq and is a predicted model, not a curated record. Lineage: Eukaryota; Metazoa; Chordata; Actinopteri; Salmoniformes; Salmonidae.